UUGUCCUCUUAACUGAUUGUGGGAAGUUGUUCUUUACUUGGGAAUGUUCCAUUAUAGAUUUUCAUCCAUCUUGAAUGAAGAUUAUGCGAAGUGUACCACUUGCAUUUGCUGGGUUGUUUGAUUCCUCGAAUUUCUUCUUUGGCCUUCUAUUAUCAAGAUUUGCUUUCCCAAUGAUUUGAUAUCGAUGUCUUCAUCCUUUGCUCCACAUCUCCUCAUUAUAUCUUUUGUCCUUUAACUAGUUUUACAAUUGUGAUUGUAAUUGUUUUAUGUUGUACCUUUGUGAUACGUUAGGUAGACGAAUUAGAUGUAUGCCAUUUGUAUUUGGUCCAUCUUCGAUAGACUCUUUAUUAGUUUAAUUUAUUGUAUCGUGGAGUUGAUCUUCAUUUUUAGGGGCUUCAACGAGUUCUCUGUAUCUAAAGUUUAGAAUGAAGCGUGAAAUUGAUUAUAUUAUACUUGCUUUCAUAUGGUAUUUUACAAUUUUCGAUGCAUCCCUCAAGUUUAUAAAGAAACGUGCA
This 515-nucleotide long non-coding RNA is filed under the name Olea europaea subsp. europaea. Lineage: Eukaryota; Viridiplantae; Streptophyta; Magnoliopsida; Lamiales; Oleaceae. The record is from RNAcentral.